Molecule: ribosomal RNA, 301 nt
Filed under: uncultured bacterium
Lineage: Bacteria
Description: partial 16S ribosomal RNA
Rfam family: Bacterial small subunit ribosomal RNA
Source: RNAcentral
CAGCGCCGCGGUAAUACAGAGGGUGCGAGCGUUAAUCGGAUUUACUGGGCGUAAAGCGUGCGUAGGCGGCUUCUUAAGUCGGAUGUGAAAUCCCUGAGCUUAACUUAGGAAUUGCAUUCGAUACUGGGAAGCUAGAGUAUGGGAGAGGAUGGUAGAAUUCCAGGUGUAGCGGUGAAAUGCGUAGAGAUCUGGAGGAAUACCGGUGGCGAAGGCGGCCCCCUGGACAAAGACUGACGCUCAGGUGCGAAAGCGUGGGGAGCAAACAGGAUUAGAUACCCCCGUAGUCCCUGUCUCUUAUACA